UGGCUGUCGUCAGCUCGUGUCGUGAGAUGUUCGGGUUAAGUCCCGUAACGAGCGCAACCCUUGUCCUUAGUUACCAGCACGUUAUGGUGGGCACUCUAAGGAGACUGCCGGUGACAAACCGGAGGAAGGUGGGGAUGACGUCAAGUCAUCAUGGCCCUUACGGCCUGGGCUACACACGUGCUACAAUGGUCGGUACAAAGGGUUGCCAAGCCGCGAGGUGGAGCUAAUCCCAUAAAACCGAUCGUAGUCCGGAUCGCAGUCUGCAACUCGACUGCGUGAAGUCGGAAUCGCUAGUAAUCGUGAAUCAGAAUGUCACGGUGAAUACGUUCCCGGGCCUU
This 338-nucleotide ribosomal RNA is filed under the name uncultured Pseudomonas sp. Its description in RNAcentral is "bacterial SSU rRNA". It matches the Rfam family "Bacterial small subunit ribosomal RNA", at positions 1046 to 1382 of the family's 1533-position model. Lineage: Bacteria; Pseudomonadati; Pseudomonadota; Gammaproteobacteria; Pseudomonadales; Pseudomonadaceae. The record is from RNAcentral.